RNAcentral lists this ribosomal RNA (253 nucleotides) under uncultured bacterium. RNAcentral's name for it is "partial 16S ribosomal RNA". It matches the Rfam family "Bacterial small subunit ribosomal RNA", at positions 524 to 776 of the family's 1533-position model. The record is from RNAcentral.
UACGAAGGGUGCAAGCGUUAAUCGGAAUUACUGGGCGUAAAGCGUGCGCAGGCGGUUCGUUGUGUCGGUGGUGAAAUCCCCGGGCUUAACCUGGGAAUGGCCAUGGAAACUGGCGAACUGGAGUGCGGCAGAGGGGGGUGGAAUUCCGCGUGUAGCAGUGAAAUGCGUAGAGAUGCGGAGGAACACCGAUGGCGAAGGCAGCCCCCUGGGCUAGCACUGACGCUCAGGCACGAAAGCGUGGGGAGCAAACAGG